ACAAAUUGGAUGAAAUUGUCGAAGAUUUUAAAGGUAUUGUCUCAUCCUGAAAUGUAGGUCGCAUGUGUGAGGGUUGUUGUCUCGUGCAUAAAUCUAGUGUAGAAAAUAAUUCAAAAUUAGAUUUAUAGAUGACUUGCCUUGUUUACGUUUUGCUAGCAGGCAGAUUUGGUCGAGCGCUUUUAGAGAAUACCAACAGCAAUAACGUAAUUUCAUUGACGUUUUGCUUCUUAUAUUUUUAAAGCUAAUCAAGUCGACGGUGAGGAUUUUUUCAAUUUAGAACCACAUGAUAUUUAUCAGAUGAUUCCUCGAAUAAAACUUCACAAGAAGUUUACGUGUAUUUGAAAUGACGUUACUCAAAAGCUGAAAGCAGAGUUAGGAUGUAUUUUGGAGAAAAGUGAUGUUGUGCAAGACAUGAAGGAACAAUGGAAUUUGCACAAAUAUAAAAUGCUGUCUGUUAUUAAAAAGACAAAGCAAAAGAAUGUCAGCAGUAUCCUUGAAGAGCUGGAGGAUUGUCCAGUGUAAGAUGAGAAAGGUUGGUGUAAAAAUCAAUAAGUUAAAAUCCCUAUUUAUACUGAAGUGUUAAUGCUUUAGAGAGUGAUAAUGGUAAUAUAUUCAUUCUAUGCUAUGUUGAUUAUUUUAGAGGUCAAGAACCGGUGUAUAAUGGCAUAUUUCCCUUAAGUGUUAGAUGACCAAUGCACCCAUCGAGAUAUGAACAAAAAGCUAUUUUGGGACAUUGUUGAUGGUAAAAGCUUGGGGGAAGUUCAAGAGAUCAUUAACAAAAGUUCGUCUCCUAGACUCCUAUCAACAGGAACAUUAAGAAACAUUCAUUCAAUAAUGUUGGUGGCUGAGGGGAUGAUUGUGGCAAAGCUGAAAAUGGAAAAUAUUGUCAAUGCAGUUAUUAUUUUACUUAGUUCUUUUUAUACUUUUAAUGCUGAGUAUCCUAAAGGCGUUAAUGGACAUUGCAAAAAUGUAUUUAUUCUUUUAGAACAUUUGCUUUUAAAUUCAAAAUGCAAUUGUAAGGCUCAAUUGCCAACUUUUGUCGAUCAUUUUAUUUCUUCUAUGAAGUAGAAAACUUUUGUAGUGUUAAUUAAUGGCAUGUAGUAGAGAUUUUAAGUAUUCUGUGUUUACAGAAAAUGUGCUAUUUAUAAUUGUGUGAUUGAUUUUCUUUAGCUUAGUUAAAAAUAUCCUCUAUAUUGGUCAAAUGGUCAUGGAUAUGCACCUGAAAAAAAUGCUUAUUUAAUGGUAAAAACAAACAAAUAAAAUUGGUAAAUUUAACCAUUUUUGUUUUUGGUAUUUUUGACCAAUUUAGGAAUUGGUUGUUUUGACCUGUAAAAAUUGUUCUUCUCAGGUGAAUUCAAAUGACCAAUUUUUUUGUCAUUUUGACCAAUCUAUUUUUACUGUGUAGAACAUUGGAUUCCAGGAUUAGAAAAUUACUUGAUCAUAAAACUAAAUGGCAUUUUCAAAUCUUGAAAAAGUUUGACGUAAAAUAAUAUUAAAUAUAUAAUUUUAUUUUAACUAUGUUGAUUAAAUCUACUUCAUUCAGUAGCUAAAUAAUUGCAGGCUACCAACAUGUA
Long non-coding RNA from Xenia sp. Carnegie-2017, 1574 nucleotides. RefSeq lists it as uncharacterized. The record is from RefSeq and is a predicted model, not a curated record. Lineage: Eukaryota; Metazoa; Cnidaria; Anthozoa; Malacalcyonacea; Xeniidae. The transcript has 3 exons.